AUGAUGGGCAUCUCCCUGCAGCGCUCCUGGAUCAUCCUGAGCGGUUGCGCCGUGCUCAUGCUCCCCAUCCUCAUCUUCACUGAGCCUCUCCUCGUCUCCAUUGGCCAGGACCCCAUGAUCAGUGCUGUCGCGGGGACCAUAUCGCUCUGGUACAUCCCUGUCAUGUUCGCCAACGUCUUCAGUUUCACGCUCCAGAUGUACCUGCAGGCGCAGAGCAAGAACAUGGUCAUCGCCUACCUUGCAUUUGUCACCCUCGGUCUCCAUGUGUUCCUGUCGUGGCUCUUCACCGUCAGGCUGCACCUUGGGCUCGCUGGGGUCAUGACCUCCAUGGUCAUCGCCAUGUGGAUUCCUGUGUUUGGGCAGCUCAUCUUCGUCUUCUUUGGUGGCUGCCCUCUCACAUGGACCGGGUUCUCCUUCACAGCACUCACCGACCUCGUCCCUAUCCUCAAGUUAUCUCUAUCCUCUGGUGUCAUGCUCUGUUUGGAAUUGUGGUACAGCACCAGAUUGGUGCUCCUUACCGGGUACAUGAAGAAUGCGGAGGUUGCACUUGACGCUCUUUCAAUAUGCCUUAACAUCAACGUUGGGAGAUGA
This 591-nucleotide ribosomal RNA is filed under the name Triticum aestivum (bread wheat). Its description in RNAcentral is "partial small subunit ribosomal RNA". The record is from RNAcentral. Lineage: Eukaryota; Viridiplantae; Streptophyta; Magnoliopsida; Poales; Poaceae.